GAUGAACGCUAGCUACAGGCUUAACACAUGCAAGUCGAGGGGAAACGACAUCGAAAGCUUGCUUUUGAUGGGCGUCGACCGGCGCACGGGUGAGUAACGCGUAUCCAACCUGCCCAUCACUUGGGAAUAACCUUGCGAAAGUAAGACUAAUACCCAAUGAUAUCCCACGAAGGCAUCGGAAUGGGAUUAAAGAUUUAUCGGUGAUGGAUGGGGAUGCGUCUGAUUAGCUUGUUGGCGGGGUAACGGCCCACCAAGGCAACGAUCAGUAGGGGUUCUGAGAGGAAGGUCCCCCACAUUGGAACUGAGACACGGUCCAAACUCCUACGGGAGGCAGCAGUGAGGAAUGUUGGUCAAUGGACGAGAGCCUGAACCAGCCAAGUAGCGUGCAGGAAGACGGCCCUAUGGGUUGUAAACUGCUUUUAUAAGGGAAUAAAGUGGGUCACGUGUGACUUUUUGCAUGUACCUUAUGAAUAAGGACCGGCUAAUUCCGUG
Molecule: ribosomal RNA, 492 nt
Filed under: uncultured bacterium
Lineage: Bacteria
Description: partial 16S ribosomal RNA
Rfam family: Bacterial small subunit ribosomal RNA
Source: RNAcentral